GACCAGACUCCUACGGGAGGCAGCAGUGGGGGAUAUUGCACAAUGGGGGAAACCCUGAUGCAGCGACGCCGCGUGGGCGAAGAAGUAUUUCGGUAUGUAAAGCCCUAUCAGCAGGGAAGAAGAAAUGACGGUACCUGAGUAAGAAGCACCGGCUAAAUACGUGCCAGCAGCCGCGGUAAUACGUAGGGGGCAAGCGUUAUCCGGAUUUACUGGGUGUAAAGGGAGCGUAGACGGCAGUGCAAGUCUGAAGUGAAAGGCGGGGGCCCAACCCCCGAACUGCUUUGGAAACUGUGCUGCUGGAGUGCAGGAGAGGCAAGUGGAAUUCCUAGUGUAGCGGUGAAAUGCGUAGAUAUUAGGAGGAACACCAGUGGCGAAGGCGGCUUGCUGGACUGUAACUGACGUUGAGGCUCGAAAGCGUGGGGAGCAAACAGGAUUAGAUACCCCCGUAC
RNAcentral lists this ribosomal RNA (449 nucleotides) under uncultured bacterium. RNAcentral's name for it is "bacterial SSU rRNA". It matches the Rfam family "Bacterial small subunit ribosomal RNA", at positions 329 to 793 of the family's 1533-position model. The record is from RNAcentral.